GAAAAACAUACCUGAAGAAAAUGACACAGAGCGGGAAGAGAAAAUGAACUGAGCCGAAGCAAUUCGAAGAAAUGAGUGUUUUCACAUCAGAGGAAAGAAAAGAAGAAGAAGAAGAAAGAAGAAGAAGAAGAAGAAGAAGAAGAAGAAGAAGAAGAAGAAGAAGAAGAAGAAGAAGAAGAAGAAGAAGAAGAAGAAGAAGAAGAAGAAGAAGAAGAAGAAGAAGAAGAAGAAGAAGAAGAGGAGAAAACAUGUGAUACCAUACACACAAAGGUCACAGCACAACAGAGGAAAACAGAGGAUUUAAGAAAUUUCAGGCGACCCCAUUUGAAUUCCAGGCGACCCCACAGGUUGAAAAACACCGGCUUAAACAUUUGGUCGUUCCUGCUUACAUGUGCUGCUCGUGUCCUGGUGCUGCCCUCUACAGGUGAAAUAAAGCACAACAGUCCAACAGGAAACAACCUUCAGCUGAUUUUCUCAUGUUUCUGUGAAUAAAAUCCACGGUUGUGUAAUCGUCUCAGUGCGGAGCAGUGGGCCGUGGAUGUCUCUACAUUUCAGGAGCCAGGUGGUCUGGAUGGACCCCCCACCCCACCCACCCCACCCCCCCUCGGCCUCCUGGUUGGAGUGGGCUGCCUUUUCAAGAGGCGUUCAGGGGCCCCAGCUGCUUGGCCUAAUGCUCCUCCAGAGAGCAGAGGAUUAAACGCAGUCUGCAGAGGGGAAAUGAAAGGAAAGGCAGAGCUGCACGGAAAAUAGAAAACACAGAGAUGGAGGGAAGGGGGGGGGGGGGACCAGGAGAACCACAUCCAGACAAAUAGAGGCCGGACUAAAGUGUGUCCCCCACCUCCAGGCGACCCACAGGUGGAUUCUGUGGACAAGAGGAGGACGGAGAGAAAACAGCACAAUAAACGACGAAAAUGGAAACGAGGAGUCUGGAUCAAUGCGACGAUAAAGUAAAUGUAGAAGCAACGAGAUGUCGACGUACAAGGACGGAAAUGAACUGAAACCAGGAUGUUUUGUCUCUUCAUGUCCAUAAUGUUUGAGGGACUGAUUAUGAUUGAAUGUUAUGGCAGACAGUGUAGUGGCAGUGGUUUAAGGACAAAGUUAUCGGAAUAUCAGCGAUAAAAAUGGACAAAAUAACACACAAAAACCAAUGAAAAUGAAAGCAAUUAGCAAAAAAAGGAAUGAAAAUGAACAGAAUUGUGAACAAAUGAAAAAAAAUAAAUAAGUACCACAAUAAAGGAAAAUUAAAAAAAAAAAAAAAAAGAGGCAGCAAAAUGGUAUGUGAAAGAAAUGAACAAAAAAGAAAUGAAAAGGAACAAACUGAGAACAAUAUUUAACCUCCUCAGAGCCAGCUAUGGGUUUUCUGUCAACAUUUGUGCACAAGAGUUUGACAACUUUAUACACAAAAAAAAAAAAAAGAGAGAAAAGAAAACUGUCCACCACAAAGGACAUUCCAUAAAAAAUUGCAUCUGCAUCUGAAAAAACUGUUGCAUCAGGAUGUUUCCAGUAUAGGCACUUAUUUAAUAAAACCAAAAAAAGCUUGUACUUUGCUGACAUUCCCUGGGUCUUAGGAGGUUAAAAAAAAAAAAAAAACAAAACAAAAAAUUAGCAUCAAAAUAAACAAUAAUUAAAAAAAAAAAAAAAAAAAAAAAAAAAACAGGCAACAAAAUGGAGAGUGAAAGAAAUGAACAAAAGAAAAUGAAAAUAAAGUGGAACAAAUUUUACUAGAAAAUUAACAAAAAGAAGCAACCCAAUGGACAAAAAAAUAACAAAAUGAGCAACAAAAUAAACAAAAUUACAAAAAAAAUGACUGAAUGACUAAAAUGAA
RNAcentral lists this long non-coding RNA (1825 nucleotides) under Sphaeramia orbicularis (orbiculate cardinalfish). RNAcentral describes it as "lncRNA (ENSSORG00005016839.1)". The record is from RNAcentral. Lineage: Eukaryota; Metazoa; Chordata; Actinopteri; Kurtiformes; Apogonidae.